This 455-nucleotide ribosomal RNA is filed under the name Streptococcus mitis. Its description in RNAcentral is "bacterial SSU rRNA". It matches the Rfam family "Bacterial small subunit ribosomal RNA", at positions 28 to 469 of the family's 1533-position model. Lineage: Bacteria; Bacillati; Bacillota; Bacilli; Lactobacillales; Streptococcaceae. The record is from RNAcentral.
GACGAACGCUGGCGGCGUGCCUAAUACAUGCAAGUAGAACGCUGAAGGAGGAGCUUGCUUCUCCGGAUGAGUUGCGAACGGGUGAGUAACGCAUAGGUAACCUGCCUGGUAGCGGGGGAUAACUAUUGGAAACGAUAGCUAAUACCGCAUAAGAGUAGAUGUUGCAUGACAUUUACUUAAAAGGUGCAAUUGCAUCACUACCAGAUGGACCUGCGUUGUAUUAGCUAGUUGGUGGGGUAACGGCUCACCAAGGCGACGAUACAUAGCCGACCUGAGAGGGUGAUCGGCCACACUGGGACUGAGACACGGCCCAGACUCCUACGGGAGGCAGCAGUAGGGAAUCUUCGGCAAUGGACGGAAGUCUGACCGAGCAACGCCGCGUGAGUGAAGAAGGUUUUCGGAUCGUAAAGCUCUGUUGUAAGAGAAGAACGAGUGUGAGAGUGGGAAGUUCACAC